Molecule: long non-coding RNA, 301 nt
Filed under: Salmo salar (Atlantic salmon)
Lineage: Eukaryota; Metazoa; Chordata; Actinopteri; Salmoniformes; Salmonidae
Description: lncRNA (ENSSSAG00000083374.1, ENSSSAG00000103203.1)
Source: RNAcentral
CCUGACCCCUGACUUUAGACUACACAUCUCAUACCAGUAGGUUAACCCUGACCCCUAACCCUAGACUACACAUCCCAUACCAGUAGGUUAACCCUGACCCCUAACCCUAGACUACACAUCCCAUACCAGUAGGUUAACCCUGACCCCUAACCCUAGACUACACAUCUCAUACCAGUAAGUUAACCCUGACCCCUAACCCUAGACUACACAUCUCAUACCAGUAGGUUAACCCUGACCCCUAACCCUAGACUACACAUCUCAUACCAGUAGGUUAACCCUGACCCCUGACCCCUAACCCUAG